This 254-nucleotide ribosomal RNA is filed under the name uncultured bacterium. RNAcentral describes it as "partial 16S ribosomal RNA". It matches the Rfam family "Bacterial small subunit ribosomal RNA", at positions 524 to 776 of the family's 1533-position model. The record is from RNAcentral.
UACGUAGGGGGCAAGCGUUGUCCGGAUUUAUUGGGCGUAAAGAGCUCGUAGGUGGUUCGGUAAGUCGGAUGUGAAAUCUCCAGGCUCAACCUGGAGGGGUCAUUCGAUACUGCCGUGACUAGAGGUCGGUAGGGGAGUGUGGAAUUCCUGGUGGAGCGGUGAAAUGCGCAGAUAUCAGGAGGAACACCCGUAGCGAAGGCGGCACUCUGGGCCGAUAUUGACGCUGAGGCGCGAAAGCCAGGGGAGCAAACGGG